This 398-nucleotide ribosomal RNA is filed under the name uncultured bacterium. RNAcentral's name for it is "bacterial SSU rRNA". It matches the Rfam family "Bacterial small subunit ribosomal RNA", at positions 361 to 776 of the family's 1533-position model. The record is from RNAcentral.
AUAUUGGACAAUGGGGGCAACCCUGAUCCAGCCAUGCCGCGUGUGUGAAGAAGGCCUUAGGGUUGUAAAGCACUUUCAGCUGUGAAGAUAAUGACAGUAGCAGAAGAAGAAGCUCCGGCUAAAUUCGUGCCAGCAGCCGCGGUAAUACGAAUGGAGCGAGCGUUGUUCGGAAUCACUGGGCGUAAAGCGUACGCAGGCGGUCAUGAAAGUUAGGAGUGAAAGCCCCGGGCUUAACCCGGGAAUUGCUCUUAAAACUCCAUGACUGGAGUACUGGAGAGGUUGGCGGAAUUCCAAGUGUAGCAGUGAAAUGCGUAGAUAUUUGGAGGAACACCGAUGGCGUAGGCAGCCAACUGGACAGUUACUGACGCUCAUGUACGAAAGCGUGGGGAUCAAACAGG